CCUACGGGUGGCAGCAGUGAGGAAUAUUGGUCAAUGGACGCAAGUCUGAACCAGCCAUGCCGCGUGCAGGAAGACGGCUCUAUGAGUUGUAAACUGCUUUUGUACGAGGGUAAACGCAGAUACGCGUACCUGUCUGAAUGUAUCGUACGAAUAAGGAUCGGCUAACUCCGUGCCAGCAGCCGCGGUAAUACGGAGGAUUCAAGCGUUAUCCGGAUUUAUUGGGUUUAAAGGGUGCGUAGGCGGGCGGAUAAGUUAGUGGUGAAAUCCCGCGGCUCAACUUCGGAAUUGCCUCUGAUACUGGUCGGCUUGAGAAUAGUUGAGGUAGGCGGAAUGUGUGGUGUAGCGGUGAAAUGCUUAGAGAUCAUGCAGAACACCGAUUGCGAAGGCAGCUUACCAAUCUAUAUCUGACGUUGAGGCUCGAAAGCGUGGGGAGCAAACAGGAUUAGAUACCCCUGUAGUC
RNAcentral lists this ribosomal RNA (460 nucleotides) under uncultured bacterium. RNAcentral's name for it is "partial 16S ribosomal RNA". It matches the Rfam family "Bacterial small subunit ribosomal RNA", at positions 338 to 795 of the family's 1533-position model. The record is from RNAcentral.